Molecule: transfer RNA, 69 nt
Filed under: Rattus norvegicus (Norway rat)
Lineage: Eukaryota; Metazoa; Chordata; Mammalia; Rodentia; Muridae
Rfam family: tRNA
About the family: Transfer RNA (tRNA) molecules are approximately 80 nucleotides in length.
Source: Rfam by way of RNAcentral
GGGGAUUUAGCUCAGCGGUAGAGCACUUGCUUAGCAAGCACAAGGCCCUGGGUUCGGUCCCCAGCUCCG